UGGGGAAUUUUGGACAAUGGGCGCAAGCCUGAUCCAGCCAUGCCGCGUGAGUGAAGAAGGCCUUCGGGUUGUAAAGCUCUUUCAGACGGAAAGAAAUCUCUCAGGAUAAUACCUUGGGAGGAUGACGGUACUGUAAGAAGAAGCACCGGCUAACUACGUGCCAGCAGCCGCGGUAAUACGUAGGGUGCGAGCGUUAAUCGGAAUUACUGGGCGUAAAGCGUGCGCAGGCGGUGAUGUAAGACAGAUGUGAAAUCCCCGGGCUCAACCUGGGAACUGCGUUUGUGACUGCCUCACUCGAGUACGGCAGAGGGAAGUUGAAUUCCGCGUGUAGCGGUGAAAUGCGUAGAGAUGCGGAGGAACACCGAUGGCGAAGGCAGUCUCCUGGGCCAGUACUGACGCUCAGGCACGAAAGCGUGGGGAGCAAACA
RNAcentral lists this ribosomal RNA (427 nucleotides) under uncultured bacterium. RNAcentral describes it as "bacterial SSU rRNA". It matches the Rfam family "Bacterial small subunit ribosomal RNA", at positions 355 to 774 of the family's 1533-position model. The record is from RNAcentral.